AGAUCCCCGAGAUAUCAUAAUCAAGUUAGUCCGGUUUUUUUUUUCUUUUCUUUUCAUUUUGAAACAUAAUCUGCCUUUUUUUUUAUUAUCAUUAUUAUUUUAUUUUAUUUGUUCAUUUAGCACUUAUGUACUGAUAUUAUUGCAGAAUUCUGGGUAUAGGAGACUGCCUCCUAUUCAGAAGAGAGACAUCGUAUACUGAAGAACAGAGAGAUGAUCUGAAAAGUUCAUGCUGAAGAACAGAUUCAAUCCGGGGCCUGGAUUCGAGGAUCCAAAUUUGACCGAUCUGCUGUUUCAGAACUUCAAAAAGGUGGUCGAGCGCAGGUACAACAAAUGUAGUUGAUUCUCUUUAAUCUAUAUUAAAAAAAAUUGAUAAAGGGAUGUAUAGAAUUGAGCUCAUACAAAUAAAUCUUUGAUGUCUACGUGCGUUGCAUUGAAAACCAAACAUGUAAACCGUCUUUUGUUUUGUCAUUUCCCAAGUUUGUAGAUUGUAGUUCGCAAUUGGUAACAACCUUCGAUUUUUUUAUGUGAAAUUGUCAUCUAACUUUGUGGA
Non-coding RNA from Erythranthe guttata (spotted monkey flower), 550 nucleotides. NCBI's taxonomy places the organism in Eukaryota, Viridiplantae, Streptophyta, Magnoliopsida, Lamiales, Phrymaceae. The record is from RefSeq and is a predicted model, not a curated record.